This 774-nucleotide ribosomal RNA is filed under the name uncultured Neocallimastigales. Its description in RNAcentral is "partial large subunit ribosomal RNA". It matches the Rfam family "Eukaryotic large subunit ribosomal RNA", at positions 23 to 645 of the family's 3401-position model. Lineage: Eukaryota; Fungi; Neocallimastigomycota; Neocallimastigomycetes; Neocallimastigales. The record is from RNAcentral.
AGAGAGAGACAUGCGCGCAUAUCAAUAAGCGGAGGAAAAGAAACUAACUAGGAUUCCCUCAGUAACGGCGAGUGAAGCGGGAAGAGCUCAAAUUUGAAAUCUUCAAGGUUCUACCUUGACGAAUUGUAGUUUAAAGAAGUGUUUUCUGUUGGAGUUUUGGUAAAAGUUCUUUGGAAUAGGACAUCAUAGAGGGUGAGAAUCCCGUAUUUGACCAUUACUUUCCCACUUUGUGAUACACUUUCAAAGAGUCGGAUUGUUUGGGAAUGCAGUCCAAAAUGGGUGGUAAAUUUCAUCUAAAGCUAAAUAUUGGCGAGAGACCGAUAGCGAACAAGUACCGUGAGGGAAAGAUGAAAAGAACUUUGAAAAGAGAGUUAAACAGUACGUGAAAUUGUCAAAAGGGAAGCGUUUGACACCAGUGUUGUUUUCUCGAAAAUCAAUUAAAAAAGGCAGGAUUUUGUGUUGUAUUGACUUUAUCAGCUUUCUGCACUCUUUUCUUGUCUUUUUUAAUGCACUUUUCGUUUAACAAGUCAACAUCAAUUUCUUUUGUUGUAAAAGGGUCAUUGGAAGGUGGCUUUCUUUUCGGAGAAAGUGUUUAUAGCCUUUGGCCUCUGCAAUCGGAGAGAUUGAGGUCUGCAGCGUAGAUCCUUCGGGGUUAGAUACAUUUGUGCUAAGUUAUAGCCUUUCAUAGACAACUUGUUGACUAUGAUCAGUCAUGUAGCUUACUCGCUUAUGCUAUUUUACCUACGCUUAGGAUGUUGAUGUGAUACUGCGAGC